UGGGGAAUAUUGGACAAUGGGCGAAAGCCUGAUCCAGCCAUGCCGCGUGUGUGAAGAAGGCCUUUUGGUUGUAAAGCACUUUAAGUGGGGAGGAAAAGCUUAUGGUUAAUACCCAUAAGCCCUGACGUUACCCACAGAAUAAGCACCGGCUAACUCUGUGCCAGCAGCCGCGAUAAUACAGAGGGUGCAAGCGUUAAUCGGAAUUACUGGGCGUAAAGCGCGCGUAGGUGGUUAUUUAAGUCAGAUGUGAAAGCCCCGGGCUUAACCUGGGAACUGCAUCUGAUACUGGAUAACUAGAGUAGGUGAGAGGGGAGUAGAAUUCCAGGUGUAGCGGUGAAAUGCGUAGAGAUCUGGAGGAAUACCGAUGGCGAAGGCAGCUCCCUGGCAUCAUACUGACACUGAGGUGCGAAAGCGUGGGUAGCAAACAGGAUUAGAUACCCUGGUAGUCCACGCCGUAAACGAUGUCUACCAGUCGUUGGGUCUUUUAAAGACUUAGUGACGCAGUUAACGCAAUAAGUAGACCGCCUGGGGAGUACGGCCGCAAGGUUA
RNAcentral lists this ribosomal RNA (549 nucleotides) under uncultured bacterium. RNAcentral describes it as "bacterial SSU rRNA". It matches the Rfam family "Bacterial small subunit ribosomal RNA", at positions 355 to 896 of the family's 1533-position model. The record is from RNAcentral.